UACCUAUAUGGAUGGAAUGGGUAGA
RNAcentral lists this non-coding RNA (25 nucleotides) under Rattus norvegicus (Norway rat). The record is from RNAcentral. Lineage: Eukaryota; Metazoa; Chordata; Mammalia; Rodentia; Muridae.